RNAcentral lists this ribosomal RNA (268 nucleotides) under uncultured soil bacterium. RNAcentral's name for it is "partial 16S ribosomal RNA". It matches the Rfam family "Bacterial small subunit ribosomal RNA", at positions 28 to 286 of the family's 1533-position model. The record is from RNAcentral.
GACGAACGCUGGCGGCGUGCCUAAUACAUGCAAGUCGAGCGGAUUGAUUUGGAGCUUGCUCCAAUGAUGUCAGCGGCGGACGGGUGAGUAACACGUGGGUAACCUGCCUGACAGACUGGGAUAACGCUUGGAAACGAGCGCUAAUACCGGAUAGGCUCUUUGACCGCAUGGUUGAAGAGGGAAAGAGGCUAUCGCCUCACUGUUAGAUGGACCCGCGGCGCAUUAGCUAGUUGGUGAGGUAAUGGCUCACCAAGGCGACGAUGCGUAA